UGGAUGGAGCGAUGCCAGGAUGUGACUGU
RNAcentral lists this non-coding RNA (29 nucleotides) under Rattus norvegicus (Norway rat). Lineage: Eukaryota; Metazoa; Chordata; Mammalia; Rodentia; Muridae. The record is from RNAcentral.